RNAcentral lists this unclassified non-coding RNA (349 nucleotides) under soil metagenome. RNAcentral describes it as "partial contains 5.8S ribosomal RNA, internal transcribed spacer 2, and large subunit ribosomal RNA". The stretch from base 1 to 120 matches the Rfam family "5.8S ribosomal RNA", at positions 35 to 154 of the family's 154-position model. The record is from RNAcentral.
GAUGAAGAACGUAGCGAAAUGCGAUAAGUAGUGUGAAUUGCAGAAUUCCGUGAAUCAUCGAGUCUUUGAACGCACAUUGCGCCCCCUGGUAUUCCGGGGGGCAUGCCUGUCCGAGCGUCAUUGCUGCCCAUCAAGCACGGCUUGUGUGUUGGGUCCUCGUCCCCCCCGGGGGACGUGCCCGAAAGGCAGCGGCGGCUCCGCGUCCGGUCCUCGAGCGUAUGGGGCUUUGUCACCCGCUCUGCAGGCCCGGCCGGCGCUGGCCGACGCGAAAGCAACCAUUUUUUCUCCAGGUUGACCUCGGAUCAGGUAGGGAUACCCGCUGAACUUAAGCAUAUCAAUAAGCGGAGGA